Molecule: ribosomal RNA, 225 nt
Filed under: uncultured prokaryote
Description: partial 16S ribosomal RNA
Rfam family: Bacterial small subunit ribosomal RNA
Source: RNAcentral
UACAGAGGGGGCAAGCGUUGUUCGGAAUUACUGGGCGUAAAGGGCGCGUAGGCGGCCUUCUAAGUCGAACGUGAAAUCCCCGGGCUCAACCCGGGAACUGCGUCCGAUACUGGAAGGCUUGAAUCCGGGAGAGGGAUGCGGAAUUCCAGGUGUAGCGGUGAAACGCGUAGAUAUCAAGUGGAACACCAGUGGCGAAGGCGAGUCUCUGGACAUUUCCUGACGCUG